This is a non-coding RNA of Macaca mulatta (Rhesus monkey), 1651 nucleotides long. The record is from RefSeq and is a predicted model, not a curated record. NCBI's taxonomy places the organism in Eukaryota, Metazoa, Chordata, Mammalia, Primates, Cercopithecidae.
AAGUACAUUUUUAUAAUCAAGUAAAAGACAAAGGAGGAAAAUUAACAUGUACCGUCUGCUUCCAUUUAAACAUACCUGUGGUCAUGGCUUGGUUGGCAGAGAUACAAGCCAUGGUGACAGUGUGAGCAGGAGUCUUGUCAGAGAAGCCAGCUCCAAGGGCAGCCUUCAGGAAAUACAGUGAAUGAAAUGAUCACUCUAAGGGAAGGGCAUCAUGUAAAUGAUGCUUUGAACACUAAUCUUUAUGGUCAUCUGAAAAGGGUUUCAGUUUAAAAUUCUCCAGAGCAAUAUUUAAAAUAAAAUUAAGGCUAUCACAGAAAUGGUUUACUAAUAUUUAAUCAUGCCAUUAAUUGACAGGUAUAUGCAAAAUUCCUGCUGGCUGGUUUCUAGUGCAGACACGAGGCUAUAAUACUCUUCUAACUCACCUAAUUUCUUAUCGAUGCUUUGCUCAGGGCUUCAAGGAUAUCAAUAUAUAAUUUGAUUUUAACUUGUUUAAUGUUCAAAUAUACUUAAAGGAACCUAUUAAAGACAGUUGGUGAAAUGAUGAUGAAAUAUAUUAUGGGUUGGAGUCUUCACAAUCUGUGUUAUCAGGUCUCAUGAUCAGUCACAAAGCUUAGCAGCAAAGCAAAAGUGAUUAAACAUAAAAAUGAUUUCUAAAGAACUGACCAUUCAUAAACAGAGUUCCCACUCAAGACCCUAUUUGCUUUACACCUAUCUUUCUGCUCACGGCCAGCUGUUCUCUCUUACUGACCAUCUGAUACUUCGGUUAGCACACUGCAGACCCAAUGCAAAGAUGAACUGGAAAACUUGCCAACUAUACAGAAGCUCAACUCAAUGAAAGAAACUGGAGAAUUGCCUGAGUUACAAGUGAGCCUGUGAACAAGUAGGCCUGAUACUAAAUGCCCAACCUGCUUUGUUGAGAACGUCUGCCGGGCACCUGCGCAUCAGCCUCUCAGCAUAAACCAAUCCAAAAGGAAGAGAGACUCGACAGUGAUAGAAGUUAUUACCCUCACAACUAUACUGAACUCAACAAUAUGGCAAGCACAGACCGGAACUAGGGAAAAUGCUGAGCACAACGAAAUGUCUUUUGGUGCCAACUUCAUCCAAACAAUCGCUUUCAAAUUGAAACAGCCCAGAAGACGUGUUUGGACUUGCUGUAGGACACGUCCUAGAAGUUCCAAGGCCUGUCAUUAUCUUGGUUGCUCAAUCGACACUACAUGGAGCUAUGCCAACUAGGGCAAAAGUAAACUUCUGUGAAAUAGUUUUUAAAAAGCCAAACUGCCUUACGUGCCAUCUAGUCGAUGGGAACAAAUGAGUAAGCAAGGCUACUUCCAGCUAACAAAAACCAAGUUAUGAAAUUAGUUCUCUGCAAAAUGUUGAAAUUUUAAAUUAACUGGAAGCCAUGAUAUCUAACAUUACUAAAAAUACUAUCAGCCGCACUUUGCUGAUCUCUAUUUUCCUAACACAAGAGACAAUGUCCUAAACCAGCUCAAAAAAUUUAUUUGAUUUACAGUAAAGUAUGAAUAUACACUAAUAUAGUAUAUGUCACUUGAUUUAUAUUAGAAUUCUUUUACAUAUUGUGUAUGUCAUUUGAUUUAUAUUAGAAUUCUUUUACAUAUUAAAUAACACAUUACCCAAGCUGUAAAAUCACAUU